GUGCUGUCGUGGCCCUCCUCGAGGCUGCCUUGGAGCUGCGAGAUAGAUCGAUAGAUCGAUAGAUAGAUAGACAGAGAGGGCGUCUUGACGGACCGAUUUUGAAG
Molecule: non-coding RNA, 104 nt
Filed under: Aurantiochytrium limacinum
Lineage: Eukaryota; Bigyra; Thraustochytrida; Thraustochytriidae
Source: RNAcentral